Molecule: long non-coding RNA, 1581 nt
Organism: Cyprinus carpio (common carp)
Lineage: Eukaryota; Metazoa; Chordata; Actinopteri; Cypriniformes; Cyprinidae
Source: Ensembl
AUGUCUGCUCACGUUUCCUCCCCAGCCACAGAGUGGGAGAGGAGCAGUUUUGAGGGAACUCGCCCGGUGGUCUUCCGGGGAACCAGGGGAGGUCGCCGAGGAGGGAGUGGUCAAGAGGAGGUUCAACAUCGCGCUCAACCAUGGCCCCCCUUCGACCCUGGGCUCGUGGGGGACGGAUCAGAGCCACUGUCUCACCAUGGCGGACGGAGAGGGGAGAAGCGCAGGUCCGCCAUGGUGGUGCCACUGCCCAUGAUGGCCGCAGGGCCAGCGCCACGAGGCAAGAUGGAUGCCAGCCCAGCGCCACAGCACAGGGUGGUCACCAGCUCCACGCCACGACGCCAGACGGUUGCCAGCCCAGCGCCAAUGCCCAAGAUGGCCGCUGAGACAUUGUUGGAUUACUUUUCCAUGUUGAACCAGAUCUUAGAGAUGCCCAGGAGUGUUCUCGUCACGGCUGCUGAGCCAGCGCCAAUGCCCAAGAUGGCCACCAGCCCAGCACCACAGCACAAAAUGGCCGCCAGCCCAGAGCCGUUGCACAAGAUGGCUGCCAUCCCAGGCCCGCAGCACGAGAUGGCCGAAUCCACACCGGUGUCGCCAGACAAGAGGGCCGACUCAACGCCCGAGUCUCUGGGCAAGGUACCGCCGACUCACCGUCAUAGAGGGCGGAGGAGGAGACCGGCAUCGACCGUUCCUCAAGGCCCGGAGGCCGUUCCCGAGCAGCCCACUGCCAUCCCGGAGGCCGUUCCCGAUCAGGCCGCUGCCGGCCCGGAGGAGGUUCCCGAGCAGCCCGCUGCCGUCCCGGAGGCGGCGCCCGAGGCCGCGGCCGUGCCCGAUGCCGUUCCCGAGGCCGCGGCCGUCCCGGAGGGGGCGGCGGAGGCAGAGGCCGAUACGGUGCCCGAGGCGGUUCUUGAAGCCGAGGCGGGUCCCGGUGCCGUGGCGGGGGGUGAGGCGGUGACCGAUGCCGUUCCGGAGGGGGAGGCGGUGCCCGAUGCCGAGACGGUGCCUGAGGCCGUUCCCGAGGCAGUGCUCGAUCCGGAGGGCGAGGCGGUGCCCGAUGCCGUUCCGGAGGGUGAGGCGGUGCCCGAUGCUGUUCCGGAGGGCGAGGCGGUGCCCGAUGCCGUUCCGGAGGCCGAGGCGGUGCCCGAUGCCGUUCCGGAGGGCGAGGCGGUGCCCGAUGCCGAGACGGUUCCUGAGGCCGUUCCCGAGGCGGUUCUUGAGGCCGAGGCGGUUCCUGAUGCCGAGGCGGUGCCCGAUGCUGUUCCGGAGGUCGAGGCGGUGCCCGACGCCGUUCCGAUGGCUGAGGCGGUGCCCGAUCCCGAGGCGGUGCCCGAUACGGAGGCCGAGGCCGUUCCCGAUACCGUGACCGUUCCAGAGGUGGUGCCCGAAGCAGAGGUGCCUCACACCUCCACAGGCCGUCCAGAGCACCUUCACGUCUCCACAGGCCGUCCAGAGCGCCUUCACGUCUCCACAGGCCUUCCAGAAUGCCUUCACAUCUUCACAGGGCCUCCAGAGGGGCAGGUUCCGCUCUGGUCGCUCAAGUGGCGGGUUCCUCCCUGGCCAUCGCCACAGCCUGCUCCUCACUGA